RNAcentral lists this ribosomal RNA (1648 nucleotides) under Solanum melongena (eggplant). Its description in RNAcentral is "bacterial LSU rRNA". It matches the Rfam family "Bacterial large subunit ribosomal RNA", at positions 216 to 2024 of the family's 2925-position model. The record is from RNAcentral. Lineage: Eukaryota; Viridiplantae; Streptophyta; Magnoliopsida; Solanales; Solanaceae.
GAAAAGAAAUCAACCGAGAUUCCGCUAGUAGUGGCGAGGCGAACGCGGACCAGGCCAGUGCCUGAUGUUUAAUUAGCAGAACGAUCUGGAAAGUUUGGCCAUAGCGGGUGACAGCCCCGUAUGCGAAAGUGAGAUUGCGACACGAGUAAGGCGGGACACGUGAAAUCCUGUCUGAACAUGGGGGGACCACCCUUUAAGGCUAAGUACUCUCAUGCGACCGAUAGUGAACUAGUACCGUGAGGGAAGGGUGAAAGCACCCCGAUGAGGGGAGUGAAACAGUACCUGAAACCGGAUGCCUACAAGCAGUGGGAGGGUCCUUGAGACCUGACCGCGUACCUCUUGCAUAAUGGGUCUGUGACUUAGUGUAUCAAGCAAGCUUAAGCCGUUAGGCGAAGGGCAGCGAAAGCGAGUCUGAAUAGGGCGCCAUAGUUUGAUGCAUUAGACCCGAAACCCGGCGAUCUAUGCAUGACCAGGUUGAAGGUGCGGUAACACGAACUGGAGGACCGAACCCGUGAAUGUUGAAAAAUUCUGGGAUGACCUGUGGAUAGGGGUGAAAGGCUAAACAAACUCCGGAGAUAUCUGGUUCUCUGCGAAAGCUAUUUAGGUAGCGCGUCGGAUGUUUACCGCCGGGGGUAGAGCACUGGAUGGGCUAUGGGGACUCACCGUCUUACUGAUCCUAACCAAACUCCGAAUACCGCAGAGUACAGCUUUGGCAGACAGACACCGGUGCUAGUCCGUAUCGUCAAAAGGGAAACAGCCUAGACCACCAGCUAAGGCCCCUAAAUCGUGCACUAAGUGGGAAAGCAGGUGGGACGAUUGACAGCAGGAUUGUUAGCUUAGAAGGCAGCCAUCCUUUAAAGAAAGCGUAACAGCUCACUGGUCUAAAUAAGAGAUCCUGCGGCGAAGAUGUAACGGGGCUAAAGUGAUGCACCGAAGCUUAGGGUUCAGUCUUUGACUGAGCGGUAGCGGAGCGUUCCGUAAGCCUGUGAAGGUCAACCGUGAGGUCGCUGGAGGUAUCAGAAGUGCCGAAUGCUGACAUGAGUAGCGAUUAUGCGGGUGAAAAGCCCCUCGCCGAAAUUCCAAGGGUUCCUGUCCAACGUUAAUCGACACUGGGUUGAGUCGAUCCUAAGGCGAGGCCGAAAGGCGUAGUCGAUGGGAACCACGUUAAUAUUCGUGGGCCUGGUGGUGUGUGACGGAUGCCGUAAAUUGUUCGGGCUUAUUGGAUUGCUCCGGGCAGUGAAGGGGUCCCAGGAAAUAGCCCCACCGUAUAGACCGUACCCGAAACCGACACAGGUGGAAUGGUAGAGUAUACCAAGGCGUUUGAGAGAAGUGUCCUGAAGGAACUCGGCAAAUUGCCUCCGUACCUUCGGAAGAAGGAGGCCCCAUCUCAAGGCAACUUUUGAUGGGGGGCACAGGCCAGGGGGUAGCGACUGUUUAGCAAAAACACAGGUCCGUGCGAAGUCGUAAGACGAUGUAUACGGACUGACUCCUGCCCGGUGCCGGAAGGUUAAAAGGAGGUGUGCAAGCACUGAACUUAAGCCCCAGUAAACGGCGGUGGUAACUAUAACCAGUCCUAAGGUAGCGAAAUUCCUUGUCGCAUAAGUUCGCGACCUGCACGAAUGUGUAACGACUUGCCCCGCUGUCUCCU